RNAcentral lists this ribosomal RNA (451 nucleotides) under uncultured organism. RNAcentral's name for it is "partial 16S ribosomal RNA". It matches the Rfam family "Bacterial small subunit ribosomal RNA", at positions 329 to 797 of the family's 1533-position model. The record is from RNAcentral.
ACGUACACUCCUACGGGAGGCAGCAGUGGGGAAUAUUGGACAAUGGGCGCAAGCCUGAUCCAGCCAUGCCGCGUGAGUGAUGAAGGCCCUAGGGUUGUAAAGCUCUUUCACCGGUGAAGAUAAUGACGGUAACCGGAGAAGAAGCCCCGGCUAACUUCGUGCCAGCAGCCGCGGUAAUACAAAGGGGGCUAGCGUUGUUCGGAUUUACUGGGCGUAAAGCGCACGUAGGCGGACUAUUAAGUCAGGGGUGAAAUCCCGGGGCUCAACCCCGGAACUGCCUUUGAUACUGGUAGUCUUGAGUUCGAGAGAGGUGAGUGGAAUUCCGAGUGUAGAGGUGAAAUUCGUAGAUAUUCGGAGGAACACCAGUGGCGAAGGCGGCUCACUGGCUCGAUACUGACGCUGAGGUGCGAAAGCGUGGGGAGCAAACAGGAUUAGAUACCCCUGUAGUCCC